Long non-coding RNA from Myotis brandtii (Brandt's bat), 1303 nucleotides. RefSeq lists it as uncharacterized. NCBI's taxonomy places the organism in Eukaryota, Metazoa, Chordata, Mammalia, Chiroptera, Vespertilionidae. The transcript has 4 exons. The record is from RefSeq and is a predicted model, not a curated record.
CCUCCUUGGGCCACCAUCCCCCCCCCACCCCUGAGCCUUGUUGUGGGCAUGGUCAUCCUUGGAGCUGUGGUCACUGGAGCCGUGGUCACUGGAGCUGUGGCUGGAGCUGUGAUGUGGAGGAGGAAGUGCUCAGGUGGAAAAGGAGGGAGCUAUACUUAGGCUGCCAGCAGCUACAGUACCCAGAGCUCUGAUCAAUCUCUCUUGGCUUUUAAAGCGUGAGGCACGUGCCUUGUGGGGGAACCAGUGAUGGGAGAUUUGUUCGAGCUCCUACUUUGUGAUUCAAGAACCUCUGAUUUCCUUCUGCAAAUGGCAUUUGAAUGUGUGUGUUCCCAUCAGCAUAACGUGAGGAGGUGGGAGGCUGGCCCACACCUGCCCACCACUCACCCUUCUCACACUUUCCUGUCCAUCAGAGCCCGGCUGGGCCCUCCCCAUCCCUGUCUUUACUUUGUGGUGCUCAGUGGGGGACUGAGUCAUGCGACGUUUGUCCAUACUCCCACUUUGUGACUCAAGUGAAAGGUUAGCAUGGUGAUACGUGGGCAGGCUACAUAGCCAUCUGGAAUGGAAAUUUUUAAAAAAAAGAAUUUAUUUAAGGAAAGAGGGUGGGGGAUGGGAUACUCAAAGGGAAGGGCUGCACAGCACCGAGCCAAGUGGAGGUUGGGUGGAUGGAUGAUGGCAACACCCAAGAUGUGGAGUUUCAUCCUUCUUUGCAGUCACUGGCAGGAAACUCUGGUCAGUGGGUCUGGGGGCUGAAUAGGUGGCUUGGAAUGGGGAUAGAAUGCAGUUGUGGGAUCAGGUGUCUUUUGGAAAAUUUCAGUUGCUUACAUGGUCUAACUCCUGGUGUCUAGCAAGUUGUUCCUGCUCUUGCUCCCCUGUGGCGGGAAGCGUACAAAUGGCCAUUAAGGAUUAUAUUGUCUGAUAGCCCAAACAUCAAGAACCUCUAACUUAAAAAAAAAUAAAUUCAGAUUGGUGAUUCUCAAAAACAUUUAAUCACUGCCUGGCAAUAAUACUCUACGGAAGUAGUUUUCCAGGUUAUAACUUUCUGUAGAAUAUGUUCAUUACAUUCCUUCAUUUGCCUGUAAGUUAACAUGGUUCCAAAAGUUAAAGGCCCCAAAUGAAUGCGGAAGUGUUAAAAUAUGUGUGAUUAUGCACACAUUUUAUUUUCUGCACUACUGUUUUGUUUUAAAUAUUUCAUUUAAAAAAUUUUAUUAACAUUACUUGCAUGUUCAAUGCUUUUGUGAUGUAUCAAUUAAAAUUAUUUUCAAUAUAAAAAAUAAAUGAAGAAGCUCUGAUUUCUUUCUGCAAA